Molecule: RNA transcript, 1893 nt
Organism: Elaeis guineensis (African oil palm)
Lineage: Eukaryota; Viridiplantae; Streptophyta; Magnoliopsida; Arecales; Arecaceae
Gene name: pto-interacting protein 1
Source: RefSeq, a predicted model, not a curated record
CUAAACCGUCGACAGCCAGUCGAUCGACGGAGGUAAACCUACCUCUAGUGCCUGUAACUCCUUUCUCGGUCCACGAGAAGUCCCCAGUCUUCUCUCGCUCCACUGUCCUCCACGGCCCCCAAAACACGCAUUUCCUCCGCCCACUUAUCCUGCGCCCCGCCCGCUAUCUUGCGCGCCGCCGCCGGAUUCUGCCCAACCUUCGCCGGCGCCAGCCGAUCCACCGCCUCUUCUCGUGAGGCGAUAGAUUUGUCGAGAAGAAGAAGGUAGUUCCUCGAGGGAGACAAAUCAUGGGAUGCUUUUCAUGGUGUGGACAAAAUGAUAUUCAUCAAGCGACCGACAAUGGGGGACCAUUUACCACAAGUAAUUCAGCAGGUAAUGUUGGAGUUAAUCAUGCCUCAGAUCCUGCUCCUAUGGGUGCUCAAAGUGUGAAAGCGCAGCCUAUUGAAGUCCCUGCCAUUCCGGUGGAUGAAAUAAAGGAAAUUACCAAAAAUUUUAGCAAUGAAACUUUACUUGGAGAGGGUUCUUAUGCCAAGGUGUACUAUGGUGUCUUGAAAAAUGGGGGAAAAUCAGCCAUAAAAAAAUUAGAUGCCAGUAAGCAGCCUGAUCAAGAAUUUCUGGCACAGGUGUCCAUGGUGUCAAGGUUAAAACAUGACAAUGUUGUAGAGCUACUUGGGUAUUGUGUUGAUGGAAAUCUUCGUAUUCUUGCAUAUGAGUAUGCCACUAUGGGAUCCCUUCAUGAUAUUCUACAUGGGCGGAAAGGUGUUAAAGGAGCACAGCCAGGUCCAGUUUUGUCAUGGGCACAACGAGUCAAAAUUGCUGUGGGAGCUGCAAGAGGACUUGAAUACCUACAUGAGAAAGUUCAACCUCGCGUUAUUCAUCGUGACAUUAAGUCCAGCAAUAUACUUCUCUUUGAUGAUGAUGUUGCAAAAAUAGCUGAUUUUGACCUGUCAAAUCAGGCUCCUGACAUGGCAGCACGUCUUCACUCUACUCGUGUUCUUGGAACCUUUGGUUAUCAUGCUCCAGAGUAUGCAAUGACAGGACAGCUUAGUUUCAAGAGUGAUGUUUACAGCUUUGGUGUUGUUCUUUUGGAGCUUUUGACCGGCCGUAAACCUGUAGAUCAUACACUGCCACGAGGCCAGCAAAGUCUCGUGACAUGGGUAUGCAUUUGCUACUCUUUCCUUCUGUCAUUGCAUCAUACAUCUUAUAGUUGUUUCCAAGGCAACCCCAAGACUUAGCGAAGAUAAGGUAAAGCAAUGUGUGGAUUCAAGGCUAGGAGGAAACUACCCUCCCAAGGCCGUCGCAAAGUUGGCUGCAGUAGCUGCCUUGUGUGUGCAGUAUGAAGCUGAUUUUCGGCCAAACAUGAGCAUUGUUGUGAAGGCACUCCAGCCUCUGUUAAAUACUCGGUCUGUUCCUCCCAGUGGGGCACCAGGAUUGUGAAACCGUCGCUUCCCAUUCGUAUUCCUGGCUCAUAGCAGAAUUCAGCGUGCUACGCACGUUUGCUGACUAAUAUUGACCUUAUCGUCGAAGCUAUUCAGCCCUUGUUGGUCAGACCCAAGGUUGUAAAAGUCUACUCUGCCUUCUUGCUCAUUGCUUGUAGCAGAAUCUGGUUGUGGAUGGUAUUUGCUGCCUUCUAGGUUUUAUAUCGUUGUUACUGAAUCUGUGAUGAGCGAUGAAGCUAAUGUGAUGAUUGACUGCAACUUAUAAUGAGACUGCUAGUUUUGUGUAUGCCAAGGAGGAUGUGGCAUGAUCUUGAAACUUGAUUUCCUCCAAAAGCCUCUUGGUCUAAUAGAUACCCCUCUGGGCCCCCUAAGCUGGUGUAAAGCCACUUCCAGAUGGCUUGCUGAAUACCCUUUUCAAGGCAGUAAUGCUGAAAGAAUGGAGAUUUGCAUAGGA